AGUCACUAAUGCCAUUGUAGUGGUUCACUGUGGACCAGAGAUCUUCCAGCUCUUUCUCCAAAUCAUAUUGCAUUUAAUGAGGAUAAUCAUUUCUAGCCGCCAUAAUAAAGAUACACCAAAUUCUCAGUCUCGGUGGCGGCCCAACAUAAUAAAGAUUUUUUUCUCUUUUGCACAAAGACUGAUUUGGGUCAGGAUCUCUCCUCCAUCUUGAGCAAAGUCAUCUGGAUCAAUUGGCCUCCAAGGCAGCUCAGGCCUAAGUUGCAGCUUUUGACAAUCUAUACGGAGAUGGCCACUCCAGGACAUUUACCGGCUUUGAUAUGUGGCAACAUCAGUGACAGAUGAAACUGCAGCUCUGAACCUCAACCAAGAGCAGCAAUAGAAUAACAGAGCAGAUGAAGAGGACUUGGAGCCCAUACUCACUGGUGCCAAGAUUCAGAAAUAGCCAGCAGCAUAAUGGUCCAAACCUUGGUCGUGUAAGGCUAAUUUCCUGUUGAAAUUGUGGCCACACAGAUAUGUGCCGUACCCAUGAUUUCUGCACUUUUCUACGUCUGUACUACUUCAACUAAAAGCUCAUCGAAAGGAGUUGGGAAGGGGGCAGUUCAGCCUGGCAGCUGUGCAUCAUUCUUCCUGCUUCUCCAGGCGUGUUGCCUCUGACGUGGCCAUUCAAAGCAGCCCAUCCCUCGUGGGGCUACUUCUGUCCUCCCCCCAAGGAAAGGACUGAAAGGCGAGGAGCGAAGGACUUUUUCCCAGUGACAGUUUGCUUUCUGUUAUGAAAGGAAGCCCUCCUGGGGACUUUCACCUACACAUCACUCGGUUACACGGCCCCCCUGCCUUAGAUAUUCACUUUCCGACCUCUGUACUGGAGAGAUUCAGAAAUGGAUCUUGAGGGGCCACAUUGUGUUACUUCUACACGCAGAGGAGAAAUUUGAGAACAAUGCGAAUACCCGAAAAUGAAAAUCAAGCCCCAAGCCAUUGGCCUGAGAUAACGUGAUUGAUGGUUCCAUUUCGUAUUUGUGUCUCAUCUAAGUUACUCUUCCUGAGGAUUAAACCGGCACUAGCCAGCGAGAUUGGCAGAGGACCUCGAACUUCAGGUAGUACUGUAGUCCUUGCUGAGAUCCAAAUCUCACGGGGUGAGAUCUUGACCACAAGCCCCAGGCUAAAUUUGUGAACAAAGUAAUAUAACUUCCCUACCUUCUUGUGACUCACAUAUAAGCAAUUGAGAACAAAAACAAUAGGAAAGAAGACUUAUGACAGCGAGAGACACUGCAACGAUGGAGUUUACAGAGCCUCUUUAUAUUGAUGGUCAAGUAAGGAAGAAUUUCAAGAAAAUGGCCUUAAACCUAAGUAACAGGUAAAAUACAAAAUCCAUUGAUAGAGAAGGGGUAACUUAUUCAGCAUAUGUUGAAUUCUUCCCAGUGCCAAUUGGGAAGUAGGACAAUCAAGAUGAUCAGGAAGGAGCACCAUUCUGGAAAAAGUUACUGGUAUGAUGAUGGUAGCAGUCCUGGACAAGCUGAAAUUUUGAUUCAGACAGGACAUCCUUGUGCAAUAUCCAACAAAACAGCUGAAGAGGUGGUUUUGAAAUUCAAGAGAGAAGUUAGGCCAAGAGAAAUCCGAUUAGGAAGUAAAUCUCCAGUUCUUAUCAUAUAUGAAAUUACCAAGAGAAAGAGAAUAGAAUAGAGGCGACAUACAGAAAUUGAACACUGAUAUUUAUAAAUAAAACUGUAAAAGUGAAUGAGACUAAAUUAGAAUAGUGAUAGAGAUGGAUAUAAAAUAAUAGAAAAGAAAAAUACUAGAAUAUCAUCAAAGUGAUAUUGACCUAUAUAAAACAGUUUCCAAAGGGAUGGGGUCAUUAGUAUCAAAAUGAGUAGCAUUCGACUAGAAAAAGACCAGAAAGAGAAAUGUUUUAGAAAGAAAGUGUGAGUUUAAGGAAAAAAAAAAAAAAAAAAAGGCCAGAAUACAAGAGAUUGUUAGUUCAAGAUUAGAAAUGGGGAAAGUUCAUGUAGACAGACUACCCUUGUAAGGAAACUUGGUAGCAGGAUGAAGAGUCAGUAGGUUGGGGUAAUCUUGGUUCUUUGUGGGAGACUUAAGAGAUGCUUGAGUGUUUAUAACCCGAAGGGUAGCAGAUUGUGCCAACCCAAAAUAUGCCUCUUUGGCAUUAAGGAUUCUCUUGAACCAACUAUUUUGAGAAACUGCAGGCACAAGAGAAGUUCUGAAAACAGUAAAAAUUCCCCUUUUGUAGAGAAAAUUUACAUUAGAAAGGGGGCCUGUACAAGGAAGGGAGUUCUCAUCAAAGAUUAUCGUUUGUUUGUUUGUUUGUUUGUUUGGCCUGAGACAUCUGCGAGGCAGAGCAACUUUUACCCAAUAUUUCCUUUUCUCAUCUUCCUCAAAAUUACCUCCCCCCACUUAAGAUCCAGACCCCUGUGCCUUUCUUGAGCUCAGGAUGGUGUAUAAGCCUCAAUUGUCUGCCUGCCAUCUGAGUCUCAUAUCUUUGUGAGGUUCUCAUACAUUACAUAUGUAAUUUUUUUUUCUAUUGUUAAUCUGUUUUUUAUUAUAGGGCACCUUAGCCAAGAACUCGAGAAGGGUGGAGGGAGAAAAAUUGUUUUUCCUCUCCUACAAAACUGAAGAGAAAAAGUUAGUGGUUAGACUGAAGAUCCAAAAGCAGGUGGCGAUAGAACAGUUCUCAGAAAAGACAUUAUCAUUUGGAAUCUGGACCAGAGUCAAAGGCAUUAGCAUUAAUAUACUAUUGCAUUAAUGCAUUCCUCCUGUCAGGCAAGCAGAGGAGGCUAUACGAAUAUACUUUGAGUUGCGGAGAAAAAUUCAGAAGGAGUGUAUGUGUGAGAGCUUAGAUUUUACUCAAUAAAAUAAGAGGAAGAUCAUAUGCUGUUUUUAGGUGAUAAGGAUGAUGAGAAAGGUGAUGAAGAUUAUGGAAAUUUCGUAAAGUAGCACCUUUAUCUUCCAACACCUCAGUGAAAUUCAAAACCCCAGGAAUUUAAACCAAAAAGGAAAAGAGGAGAGGAAAUAGAAAAGAAAGGGACAUAUGCCUAAGGGAGAUAUUGAAGAAAGAUCUGAACUUGAGGGAAAAAAUCUGCCCUUUCAGUCCAUUGAGGAAUUACUUU
This is a long non-coding RNA of Canis lupus familiaris (dog), 3116 nucleotides long. RefSeq lists it as uncharacterized. The record is from RefSeq and is a predicted model, not a curated record. NCBI's taxonomy places the organism in Eukaryota, Metazoa, Chordata, Mammalia, Carnivora, Canidae. The transcript is spliced from 5 exons.